GAUGAACGCUGGCGGCGUGCCUAAUACAUGCAAGUCGAGCGAACAGACGAGGAGCUUGCUCCUCUGACGUUAGCGGCGGACGGGUGAGUAACACGUGGAUAACCUACCUAUAAGACUGGGAUAACUUCGGGAAACCGGAGCUAAUACCGGAUAAUAUAUUGAACCGCAUGGUUCAAUAGAGAAAGACGGUUUUGCUGUCACUUAUAGAUGGAUCCGCGCCGCAUUAGCUAGUUGGUAAGGUAACGGCUUACCAAGGCAACGAUGCGUAGCCGACCUGAGAGGGUGAUCGGCCACACUGGAACUGAGACACGGUCCAGACCCCUACGGGAGGCAGCAGUAGGGAAUCUUCCGCAAUGGGCGAAAGCCUGACGGAGCAACGCCGCGUGAGUGAUGAAGGUCUUCGGAUCGUAAAACUCUGUUAUUAGGGAAGAACAAAUGUGUAAGUAACUAUGCACGUCUUGACGGUACCUAAUCAGAAAGCCACGGCUAACUACGUG
This 497-nucleotide ribosomal RNA is filed under the name uncultured bacterium. RNAcentral describes it as "partial 16S ribosomal RNA". It matches the Rfam family "Bacterial small subunit ribosomal RNA", at positions 28 to 507 of the family's 1533-position model. The record is from RNAcentral.